RNAcentral lists this ribosomal RNA (149 nucleotides) under Chalcides sphenopsiformis. RNAcentral's name for it is "partial 16S ribosomal RNA". Lineage: Eukaryota; Metazoa; Chordata; Lepidosauria; Squamata; Scincidae. The record is from RNAcentral.
CAAUCCAGGUCGGUUUCUAUCUAUGACGCCCCCUUCUUCAGUACGAAAGGACCAAGAAGAAAGGACCAAUACUACAAGCACGUCCUAACAAAACAGCUGAACAAAACUAAAGCUAUUGGCACCACUCCAGUCGCAGAUAACGACUGUUU